RNAcentral lists this transfer RNA (77 nucleotides) under Natranaerobius thermophilus JW/NM-WN-LF. RNAcentral's name for it is "tRNA-fMet (CAT) (tRNA-fMet-CAT-2-1)". It matches the Rfam family "tRNA". From Rfam's summary of the family: Transfer RNA (tRNA) molecules are approximately 80 nucleotides in length. The record is from RNAcentral. RNAcentral also lists the same sequence under 2 other names. Lineage: Bacteria; Bacillati; Bacillota; Clostridia; Natranaerobiales; Natranaerobiaceae.
CGCGGGGUGGAGCAGUCUGGUAGCUCGUCGGGCUCAUAACCCGGAGGCCGCAGGUUCAAAUCCUGCCCCCGCAACCA